ACUACAUAUUACGCGAAUCCAACUUCAUCAGCUUCGGCUGUCAACAUCGCUCGAAGCAGGCGAAAAAACGGUGUUCGCAUUUGGAUAUGUACUGUGCAAUGGGUUGAGCCACCUAGACAACAUUCGUUACAGGGAAAAUACCAAGAAAAAUGGAGAAAUUUUGAUACACAAAUUACCUGGCGCGUUGUAUGUUGCAAAAUGCCAGGCAUUGUAGUGUUUCGCAGACGAUGGUCCGUCGGCUCAGACGAUUUGGUGGUGCCAGCCGUUUUUCUACUGGUUUUGCACGCAGCAUGGAUCAUCAUCCUGGGCAUCAUCCUUGGUGUGGUGGACUUCGAGAGGAAGGUGGCGUGCACCCAGGACCUCCACGACCAUGUCCUGGGCUACCUCAUCAUACUGUCUGUGUGCUUCUUCAUGGAGCUGCUCAUCGCCAUCAUCAGCAUGCGGGGCGGCAUCCUGGACAACCACCCACGACGCAGCAUGCAGUACCUGCUGUACCUCAGACUCAUUGUGUUCCUGGGAGAGCUGGCGUGGCUGGUGGUGGGCAUCGUGUGGACAGCCAAACACUUCAACACCUGCAACCCAAUAUCUGCAAAGAAGGCCGUCCUAGGUGUGAUCGUAUGCAACUGGUUGGUGAUGCUGAUAGUGAUCGUCUCCCUUUGGUGCACGUUUGACUCAGCAGGCAGAAAAUGGGUGAAGAUGAAGAAAUACCAAGACAGCCUAAAGGAGAAGCGACGAGGGAAUCGCAGGAUCUCUGGGAGUACUCGCAGGAACUGGCGCCAGAGGUCUAGGCUAAUAAAGGAAUUUUUCCAUCAAAAGUUCCGCAGGAAGGCAUUCCGAGCGUACGAGGAGAGUUGGGACCGUCGUCUACAGCUGCUGUGCUGCUGUGUGGAGCGCAAGGGAAGGAACAGGAACUCCAUUGCCGAGAUCGCCCAACUCUUUACGGAAUUCUUCCGGGAUUUAGAUGUGGUGCCAUCCGAUGUGAUCGCAGGCCUGGUUCUACUUCGGCAGUUCCAGAAGCAGCGCAUGGCCAACAUCGUAUGGCAGGGUAACAACGACGUCUACCAGUACCUGUCAGGGGUGCCCAUCACCCCCCACACCCAGUUCCUCCAGCUGAGCGUGCCGUCCGUGAUGGAGGACUACCGCCGCGUCAUCCACUACAUGAGACACGCCCUGGCGGCGUACGGCUGGCCCGCCACCAUGAUGAUCAACCCCGGGACCUGGCUGUGUCGACUCAUGCCCUUUCUCACUUGUUGCUGCUGCAACAAGCAACGCAAUGCCAUCGUCAUCGACGACAACUGCUGCCUGUGCAACUUCUCCGCCUUGCGUCGUAUCAGCGGUCUCCAGGAGGUGGAUGUGGUUUAUGCGACCUACCAUGUUGAUAUUGGUGAGACUCCAUUUUAUGUGGCCCUGGACCAUGCUGAGAAGACUGUGGUUGUCUGUGUUAGGGGCACACUGUCAUUACAGGAUGUGCUGACAGAUCUAAAGGCGGAGGCGGAGACCCUCCCCCUGACACCGCCCAGGGAGGACUGGCAAGGUCACAAGGGCAUGGUGCAGGCUGCCGUCUACAUCAAGAAGAGGCUGGACGAGGAGGGCAUCAUCAUCAAAGCCAUGAAUCUUGCCGAGGAGCUGAGUUCCGAGAAGUACGACCUGACCCUAGUGGGUCACUCUCUGGGGGCGGGCACAGCCGCCAUCCUGGCCAUCCUCCUUCAGCCCGAGUUCCCCACCCUGCACUGCUACGCCUUCUCUCCCCCAGGGGGACUUAUCAGGUCAGUCCACUCACUGCAUCACACAAACACCCCCCCACCCUGCACUGCUACGCCUUCUCUCCCCCGGGGGGACUUAUCAGGUCAGUCCACUCACAGCAUCACACAAACACACCCCCACCCUGCACUGCUACGCCUUCUCUCCCCCGGGGGGACUUAUCAGGUCAGUCCACUCACAGCAUCACACAAACACACCCCCACCCUGCACUGCUACGCCUUCUCUCCCCCAGGGGGACUUAUCAGGUCAGUCCACUCACAGCAUCACACAAACACACCCCCACCCUGCACUGCUACGCCUUCUCUCCCCCGGGGGGACUUAUCAGGUCAGUCCACUCACAGCAUCACACAAACACACCCCCACCCUGCACUGCUACGCCUUCUCUCCCCCGGGGGGACUCAUCAGGUCAGUCCACUCACAGCAUCACACAAACACACCCCCACCCUGCACUGCUACGCCUUCUCCCCCCCAGGGGGACUCAUCAGGUCAGUCCACUCACAGCAUCACACAAACACACCCCCACCCUGCACUGCUACGCCUUCUCUCCCCCAGGGGGACUUAUCAGGUCAGUCCACUCACAGCAUCACACAAACACACCCCCACCCUGCACUGCUACGCCUUCUCUCCCCCGGGGGGACUUAUCAGGUCAGUCCACUCACAGCAUCACACAAACACCCCCACCCUGCACUGCUACGCCUUCUCUCCCCCAGGGGGACUUAUCAGGUCAGUCCACUCACAGCAUCACACAAACACCCCCACCCUGCACUGCUACGCCUUCUCUCCCCCAGGGGGACUUAUCAGGUCAGUCCACUCACAGCAUCACACAAACACCCCCACCCUGCACUGCUACGCCUUCUAUCCCCCAGGGGGACUUAUCAGGUCAGUCCACUCACAGCAUCACACAAACACCCCCACCCUGCACUGCUACGCCUUCUCUCCCCCAGGGGGACUUAUCAGGUCAGUCCACUCACAGCAUCACACAAACACCCCCACCCUGCACUGCUACGCCUUCUCUCCCCCAGGGGGACUUAUCAGGUCAGUCCACUCACAGCAUCACACAAACACCCCCACCCUGCACUGCUACGCCUUCUCUCCCCCAGGGGGACUUAUCAGGUCAGUCCACUCACUGCAUCACACAAACACACCCCACCCUGCACUGCUACGCCUUCUCUCCGCCGGGGGGACUUAUCAGGUCAGUCCACUCACAGCAUCACACAAACACCCCCACCCUGCACUGCUACGCCUUCUCUCCCCCAGGGGGACUUAUCAGGUCAGUCCACUCACAGCAUCACACAAACACCCCCACCCUGCACUGCUACGCCUUCUCUCCCCCAGGGGGACUUAUCAGGUCAGUCCACUCACAGCAUCACACAAACACCCCCACCCUGCACUGCUACGCCUUCUCUCCCCCAGGGGGACUUAUCAGGUCAGUCCACUCACAGCAUCACACAAACACACCCCCACCCUGCACUGCUACGCCUUCUCUCCCCCAGGGGGACUUAUCAGGUCAGUCCACUCCCAGCAUCACACAAACACACCCCCACCCUGCACUGCUACGCCUUCUCUCCCCCAGGGGGACUUAUCAGGUCAGUCCACUCACAGCAUCACACAAACACACCCCCACCCUGCACUGCUACGCCUUCUCUCCCCCAGGGGGACUUAUCAGGUCAGUCCACUCACAGCAUCACACAAACACACCCCCACCCUGCACUGCUACGCCUUCUCUCCCCCAGGGGGACUUAUCAGGUCAGUCCACUCACAGUAUCACACAAACACACCCCCACCCUGCACUGCUACGCCUUCUCUCCCCCAGGGGGACUUAUCAGGUCAGUCCACUCACAGCAUCACACAAACACACCCCCACCCUGCACUGCUACGCCUUCUCUCCCCCGGGGGGACUCAUCAGGUCAGUCCACUCACAGCAUCACACAAACACACCCCCACCCUGCACUGCUACGCCUUCUCUCCCCCAGGGGGACUUAUCAGGUCAGUCCACUCACUGCAUCACACAAACACACCCCCACCCUGCACUGCUACGCCUUCUCUCCCCCAGGGGGACUUAUCAGGUCAGUCCACUCACUGCAUCACACAAACACACCCCCACCCUGCACUGCUACGCCUUCUCUCCCCCAGGGGGACUUAUCAGGUCAGUCCACUCACAGCAUCACACAAACACACCCCCACCCUGCACUGCUACGCCUUCUCUCCCCCAGGGGGACUUAUCAGGUCAGUCCACUCACAGCAUCACACCAACACACCCUCACCCUGCACUGCUACGCCUUCUCUCCCCCAGGGGGACUUAUCAGGUCAGUCCACUCACUGCAUCACACAAACACACCCCCACCCUGCACUGCUACGCCUUCUCUCCCCCAGGGGGACUUAUCAGGUCAGUCCACUCACAGCAUCACACAAACACCCCCCCACCCUGCACUGCUACGCCUUCUCUCCCCCGGGGGGACUUAUCAGGUCAGUCCACUCACAGCAUCACACAAACACACCCCCACCCUGCACUGCUACGCCUUCUCUCCCCCAGGGGGACUUAUCAGGUCAGUCCACUCACAGCAUCACACAAACACACCCCCACCCUGCACUGCUACGCCUUCUCUCCCCAGGGGGACUUAUCAGGACAGUCUGUCCACUCACAGCAUCACACAAACACACCCCCACCCUGCACUGCUACGCCUUCUCUCCCCCGGGGGGACUCAUCAGGUCAGUCCACUCACAGCAUCACACAAACACACCCCCACCCUGCACUGCUACGCCUUCUCUCCCCCGGGAGGACUCAUCAGGUCAGUCCACUCACAGCAUCACACAAACACACCCCCACCCUGCACUGCUACGCCUUCUCUCCCCCGGGGGGACUUAUCAGGUCAGUCCACUCACAGCAUCACACAAACACACCCCCACCCUGCACUGCUACGCCUUCUCUCCCCCAGGGGGACUUAUCAGUAUAUCCUGUGUGGAGGAGACCAAGUCCUACAUCACGUCUGUUGUCGUGGGGAAAGAUGUCGUGCCCAGAAUUGGUCUGCCCCAGAUGGAGCUGCUGAGGACAGACAUCAUCAACAUGAUCAAGAAGAGCAACGACCCAAAGUGGCAGAUUAUCUCAAAGGGAGUGUUCUGCUGUUGUGGGGACUACACAGGCAAGAAGGGGUCUCAGGUGGACUUAGACCGCAAUGUGACCGCUCACCCUAGUGACUCCCAGAUCGGCCUGUCCGCCCAUGUCCCGCUGUUUCCCCCGGGGAAGAUCAUCCACAUCGUCCGGAGUCACCCAAAGGAGUCAGGGCAUGUUCAUAACCGUCGCUAUUCCAAGAAGCCAGUGUGUCAGAGUUCUGAGCCCGUUUACCAGGCCGUGUGGGCAGGAAAUGGAGACUUCGACGAGGUUCUCAUCUCCCCUACCAUGAUCAACGACCACAUGCCUG
RNAcentral lists this unclassified non-coding RNA (5180 nucleotides) under Haliotis rufescens (red abalone). RNAcentral describes it as "diacylglycerol lipase-alpha-like, transcript variant X4". The record is from RNAcentral. Lineage: Eukaryota; Metazoa; Mollusca; Gastropoda; Lepetellida; Haliotidae.